UACGUAGGGUGCAAGCGUUGUCCGGAAUUACUGGGCGUAAAGCGUGCGCAGGCGGUUUUGUAAGUCUGUCGUGAAAUCCCCGGGCUCAACCUGGGAAUGGCGAUGGAGACUGCAAGGCUAGAGUUUGGCAGAGGGGGUAGAAUUCCACGUGUAGCAGUGAAAUGCGUAGAUAUCGAAGAGGAACACCUGCGGCGAAGGCGGGUUGCUGGGCUGAUACUGACGCUGAGGCGACGAAGCCAGGGAGCGAACGGG
RNAcentral lists this ribosomal RNA (252 nucleotides) under uncultured bacterium. Its description in RNAcentral is "partial 16S ribosomal RNA". It matches the Rfam family "Bacterial small subunit ribosomal RNA", at positions 524 to 776 of the family's 1533-position model. The record is from RNAcentral.